Molecule: ribosomal RNA, 1053 nt
Filed under: uncultured bacterium
Lineage: Bacteria
Description: bacterial SSU rRNA
Rfam family: Bacterial small subunit ribosomal RNA
Source: RNAcentral
CUCCUACGGGAGGCAGCAGUUAGGAAUAUUGGUCAAUGGACGAGAGUGUGAACCAGCCAAGUAGCGUGAAGGAUGACGCCCUAUGGGUUGUAAACUUCUUUUAUAUGGGAAUAAAGUAUUCCACGUGUGGAAUUUUGUAUGUACCAUAUGAAUAAGGAUCGGCUAACUCCGUGCCAGCAGCCGCGGUAAUACGGAGGAUCCGAGCGUUAUCCGGAUUUAUUGGGUUUAAAGGGAGCGUAGGUGGAUUGUUAAGUCAGUUGUGAAAGUUUGCGGCUCAACCGUAAAAUUGCAGUUGAAACUGGCAGUCUUGAGUACAGUAGAGGUGGGCGGAAUUCGUGGUGUAGCGGUGAAAUGCUUAGAUAUCACGAAGAACUCCGAUUGCGAAGGCAGCUCACUAGACUGCAACUGACACUGAUGCUCGAAAGUGUGGGUAUCAAACAGGAUUAGAUACCCUGGUAGUCCACACAGUAAACGAUGAAUACUCGCUGUUUGCGAUAUACAGUAAGCGGCCAAGCGAAAGCAUUAAGUAUUCCACCUGGGGAGUACGCCGGCAACGGUGAAACUCAAAGGAAUUGACGGGGGCCCGCACAAGCGGAGGAACAUGUGGUUUAAUUCGAUGAUACGCGAGGAACCUUACCCGGGCUUAAAUUGCAUUUGAAUAAUCUGGAAACAGGUUAGCCGCAAGGCAAAUGUGAAGGUGCUGCAUGGUUGUCGUCAGCUCGUGCCGUGAGGUGUCGGCUUAAGUGCCAUAACGAGCGCAACCCUUAUCUUUAGUUACUAACAGGUCAUGCUGAGGACUCUAGAGAAACUGCCGUCGUAAGAUGUGAGGAAGGUGGGGAUGACGUCAAAUCAGCACGGCCCUUACGUCCGGGGCUACACACGUGUUACAAUGGGGGGUACAGAAGGCAGCUACCUGGCGACAGGAUGCUAAUCCCAAAAACCUCUCUCAGUUCGGAUCGAAGUCUGCAACCCGACUUCGUGAAGCUGGAUUCGCUAGUAAUCGCGCAUCAGCCAUGGCGCGGUGAAUACGUUCCCGGGCCUUGUACACACCGC